Molecule: ribosomal RNA, 162 nt
Filed under: uncultured Pseudomonas sp.
Lineage: Bacteria; Pseudomonadati; Pseudomonadota; Gammaproteobacteria; Pseudomonadales; Pseudomonadaceae
Description: partial 16S ribosomal RNA
Rfam family: Bacterial small subunit ribosomal RNA
Source: RNAcentral
GUCCUUGGGCGAGCCUGAUCAGCCAUGCCGCGUGUGUGAAGAAGGUCUUCGGAUUGUAAAGCACUUUAAGUUGGGAGGAAGGGCAUUAACCUAAUACGUUAGUGUUUUGACGUUACCGACAGAAUAAGCACCGGCUAACUCUGUGCCAGCAGCCGCGGUAAU